CAAAAAAAAUCAUAUGAUGAGGUUGGAAGUAAAGUAACAAAAGUAUGUAAUCAAUUUUUGAAUUAGGUUGCUAAAACUUUAUGAGAUUAUUAAAUGUAUAAAGUGCUUUUUCAUGUUGUUAAUGGUCAGGGGAGUACAAGGACGUAGAUUGGGUUCAUUAGGAGGUUUAUGUUAUAUUUAAGGAUUACUCGGAAUUAGUUAUUGAGUUUUCGAGGUUUUAGUGGAUUUUUACGAGUUGGAAGUAAAGAAACAAAAGUAUGUAAUCAAUUUUUGAAUUAGGUUGCUAAAACUUUAUGAGAUGAUUAAAUUUAUAAAGUGCUUUUUCAUGUUGUUAAUGGUCAGGGGAGUACAAGGAUGUUGAUUGGGUUCAUUAGGAGGUUUAUGUUAUAUUUAAGGAUUACUCGGAAUUAGUUAUUGAGUUUUCGAGGUUUUAGUGGAUUUUUACGAGGCCAAGGGUUAAAGACAUCUCUAAUUUCAAUUUUGUUUCUAGGAGUAGGAAAAUUGAAGAUAAAGCAUUGUACAAGAUAACUCUAUAUCAACAACUCAUCUUUGAAUAUAAGGAUGAAAUGUAGGAAUUUGACUUGAAGUAUCAUUCUUUAAAAUCAACCAUGGAGGCCAUGGAUCAAAAGUUAGAGGAUUUGAAAAGAAAUGAUCUACAUCGAAGAGUACCUUGAUGUUUUGAAUUUGAACUACCUCAAAGUUUUGUAUGGUAAUGAUUAUGUAUAACGACCCAACCUUUAUGCUCAAGCUGUUAACUCAUGUUUGUCCACUCUUGGAAAGCCUGAGCCCAUCUUCCCCUCACGAAUUUCUAUAGCGUCAUCAAGAUUUGAACACAUGACCUCCCCUUAAGAGAGAUUCUCAAUUGGUACCACGAUUCAACUAAAGUCUCUCUUGACGCAAAGUCAUGUGUUCGAAUAUUGGGAAUGUGAUAGAAAUUUGUGAGGAGGUAAGAUGUGCUUAGGCUCUCACAUAGUGGACUGUACGUAUAAUAUAAUGGUUUGGGCAUAGAGGUCACGUCGUUACAUCUUGUAUCAAAGAUGAGGAGAAAUCCAAUUGAUGCAAAUGCCAUAGCUAUCAUAAAGUCGCAUUUGAAUAAAAAGUACCUGAAACUUAGAAAGGAACCCAAAAUGGCUAAGAUAGCAUACAAAAAUUAUGAAAGAAAAUUAAGAAAAGGUGUACAAUCAUACAACUUUUGUCAAGAAAGAAAAAGCAAAGCGGUUGAGCCCAUGGCCAAGCUCCAGCUCGGCUCAGCCCAUUUACCACACCUAGCUCAAACAAAUUACACUAGUUGUUGGCAUGCUUUAUUAGAUAUUACGUGAUGCCCGUGUGUUGAUGCUACUAUUUCACAAGUGUAUUUUGAGUGUAAUUUUUGAAGAAAAUGGCUUUGCACUACAUUAACUUAGGUAAUAUCUAUCCAAAGUGCUUACAUAGCUAAUUUACCUAACUCAAAUGAGUGAAGAGAUUUUCUUGAUAUGCAUGGAUUGAUAAUACUUAAUAGGGCACUUUUUAUUGUCACCUUGCAAUUUAUUUUUCCCAUGAACCAUAGUUUUAAACAUCUCAUCAUUGGAUUGAGUAUUCUCAUUUAAGUGCUAUGAAUCAUGGACACUCCUAUUGGGUGGUAUGUCCAUUUUUGACUCAUAUCAUUAGUGCGUAAACUGAUUGUAUGCCAUCACCGAUAAACAUCAUAAUAAGCGAUGUUCACUGGGCCUAAAGAGUGAUGGAGGUGUGCAAAGGUAGGCUCAAGCUAAGAUUCCGCUCGUGAGCGUAAUGGUAUAAGCCUACUCGCUCGGGAGAAGUGGUAAUCCCUAGAUAUUCUCAUCGGUAACGUUCUAGUACACCAUCAAAGAACCAGAGGAAUCUGGUCCUUCCUUUGGAAUAUGGGAAGCCAAAAAUUUUGAUGUUAAGAGCUCACUAUUUAACUCUAGGAACAUGUGCUAAGCAAAUUAAGGAUACGCAAUGCCCAUUUUGUAAAUUUUCGAACGUUAUGCCAAAUUCGAUGUGUGUGGUUUACACAUGCGUGCAUGCUCUCUCUCUCUCUCUCUCGUGAAAUUUAGUUAACCUAAAUUUAUCUUAUUACAACAAAUAGUCUCACCUUUGAUGUAAAAAAUUUCACCUGUAGAAAUUAAAGCUGGAAAUGUAUUAGUUAUUGGAAAAUGAAAUAAGCAUAAAAAUAGAUGUUUUAAGUUUUAGAUUUCAAAUUAACUUGCUCCCAAUGUAUCUGCGUCCUACCUUUUUGAAAAUUGUUGUGCUUUUUAAUUUUAAGGUCAUGAUGACACGAGCUUUAACUUCAUCCCCUAGAUAUCAACAUCUCACAAUCUAUAGCCUCUGAAUAUUUUCAAGAUACAAUCUGAAAUUAGGAAUGCUAAUCCUAUCAUACAGCCAUUUAAAAUUUUUCUUAUAACAGGAAUGCCUUGAGAAGUAUCAUUGUUAAAAUUGGACUGACACAAGAUUGACAUGUCACAUUUUUGCAUCUUUGUUCUUGUGAUAACAAUUAAAAGCCUAUGCCAUCAUUGUAACUUUGAUGCAUGACAGAAACGUCAUUUUCUAAAAGUAUUACAUCAUUGUUCUCACUAACAAUAGGAUUGCCUAUCUAAUUUGAAAAGAUCUUUUUUAAUGACCAUGAGCCAUUUUAUGUUCUUUUUGAUUUCUACGUCUUUUUGUGCCUUCUAAGAGUUGUUUCAUAUAUAUUUCCAAUUUUCAUGAGAUAAAUGUUGAGGGGACAUACCUGUCAAAAAAAAUGUUGAGGGGACAUAGUCUUCACACCUAUUAUGAUAAUCAAAAAUUGAAUUUAGAUAAAACACACGUAUACUUAUCUUUUUUAUUUAGGCGUACUUGUAUUUUCAUUAGGGUAGAAACAACGCUUCCUUUAGUCUAAGGACUUUGUAAAUCACCAAUUGCCAACUAUACUUCUCACCCGUGAGCUCUUUGGAUCAUAUUAAAUUUGGUUGAUUCUUUUUGACAUUAUUGGGGAUAAUUAUAAUUAUUUAACAAAAUAUAGAAGUGUGGUUGAAACAAAUGCGUAAAAAAUUAAGUUGAAACAAGUGUAUUCAUCCAGGGUAGUGUUUAUGGAAAUUUAAACAUGUGGAACUCAUGAACAUUUUGAUUCCAGGAGUGGAAUAGAAUUUGUGUUGGGCCUUAGGAUGAAACCUGAGGCAAAGUAGUCCCAUCCUUUUUAGGUUAUAGUAUCUCGUACGCUUUAUGGAGAUUCAAGCCCUCUAAAGUUCAGAAAAUUCAAGGAAUUGGUGCAGCAAAAUCUCAUGAUUUGUCUACUCUUAUGAUACUAUGGCUUAACUAAAACAUUGCCUAGCUCAAAUAUAUCUGCACUAUUGACUGAUAGAUAUAAUGUUAAAUAUUUGUUAAAAUCAAUUUGUAUACUUGGUUUAAUGCAGUGGCUAAAAAUCCUGUUGUAAGGUUGCUUAAUUUCAUGUUGUUCCUUUCAUGCUUAAAGUGAUUUUAUACCUCCCGUGUACUCUCUUUUAAGGAAUAAAAUUCUCUGAUUACUAUAAAAAAAUAAAAUAAAAUUGUACUAACAUAAUUUCAUAAUGCUCCUAAAAUUAUACAACUUAUCUUUAUCCAACCAAGAUCUCCCGUGAAUUAAUAUGACUUAAAACUUAUUUCCCGUUGAAUGAUUGACUCUAGUUAUUGAGGUUGAAAAUAUUUUUGUCGAGCUAUGUCUUCAUGGAAGCUCAGUUUGCAGUCCAUGUAAGCAUACAGAUAGGAAUGAUUUCAUUAAAUGUCGUUAGCCACGGCUUUGUUUCCAUUCCUCUUCUGUUGUAUAUGUGCAAAUUUAAAUUGUUAAAAAAAUGAAAAAUACAGUGAUAUUUGUAUAUCAGUUAUUCUGUCCAUGCUUGGUUGCCUUUUUUUUGGGUUUAGAUGUAUAAAACCAUUUAGUCAGCAAUAUAUACCCACCAACCGAAGAAAUAUCUAAUAUUACUAACUACUACACAAUGCUGCUGAUCAUAAAGAAAAGUUUUCUACUUAGUUCUUGGGUAAGCUUGCAAAACAUGUUCGAGAUGCAUCUCCCCUGCACUGUCAAUUUAUGCUUGCGUUCAGGCCUGUCUAAAUGAGCGUUUUUCGUAUCUUCAAGACUACAACUGAUACAUUGCCGCCAAAACAUUCUGGCUUCUUGUGAUCACAUUGACUCAUUGACGAGUAGAAUUUCGACAGCAUAUUUGGUACUUGUGCAAAACAGGAUUGAAGAGUAGAAUGGACAAUAGCACCUGUUUGAACCCCAUUUUUGGUAUAGAAUGUAUUUUAGAAUAAUAGAUCGAUGGAGAAUGUGUGGUUAAAAAAUAAAGAAAAGUUUUAGUUUUACGUGUAAUAUUAUUUCAUUGAAGAAUAUGUAGUUGAAAAGAAGAGAGAAAAAAAUGUAUUUUGAAAAUAAAGGGGAUCAAAGAAGGGCUUUUCACCUGUAAAUUAUUUUAACUGUAAUACCUCUCUAGUAUAACCCUGUGGUGACAUUGUACUUAUAGGGUGAUGCAUGCUAAAGAAUUCCAUUUUAUAGGAAAAUAAUCAUUGGCAUCAUAUGCUUAGGAACACACACAAUGACCUUCUCCAUUCUCUUUAAAAGGACUAUCUCAGUAGUUGAAGUGAGAGAACCACCUCUAAAAUUUUUCGUUUAAAAGGCCUAAUUUAGUCACCAAAUGUCUAAGGUAACCUCAAUAAAAAGGACCAUUUUCUUCGCCGGUUAACUCAUUGUUUUUUUUUAUUUUUUUUGGCUAACUCUAAAUCACUUAUUUCUUCAGAUUCAACGAAAACUGCAAUUGCGAAUUGAAGAACAAGGAAAACACCUUCAGAUUAUGUUUGAACAGCAGAUGAAGAUGGAGAAGGAAAAGGAAAAGCUGAAAUCCAAUUCGCCUUCCCUUGAUCAGGAGAAACCCGAACCCGCGGAACUAGUGGCUGCUUCAAGUGAUGCCUUCAUUUCAGCAGCCGAACAUCCAAAUGACAUGCAAAAGUCGCCUGAAAGGAAUAAUGAACUGAGUCGACCAACAAAACGAGCCAAAUCUUAUGAAACCGGAGN
This 5020-nucleotide long non-coding RNA is filed under the name Olea europaea subsp. europaea. Lineage: Eukaryota; Viridiplantae; Streptophyta; Magnoliopsida; Lamiales; Oleaceae. The record is from RNAcentral.